This 227-nucleotide long non-coding RNA is filed under the name Malus domestica (apple). RNAcentral's name for it is "long non-coding RNA (MDOM_LNC000488)". Lineage: Eukaryota; Viridiplantae; Streptophyta; Magnoliopsida; Rosales; Rosaceae. The record is from RNAcentral.
CUAUUGAUGAAGCUCUUGUUGGCACCAUAAAUUGGUUUUGCUUCACACUGUCUUGAUCAAGAGUGUGUGAAACUUUUGAGAAUUGUGGUUGAACUUCUUUAAUGAAGCUCUUGUUAGCACCAUAAAUUGGUUUUGCUUCACAUUGUCUUGAUCAAGAGUGUGUGAAGCUUUUGAGAAUUGUAGUGUUUGCAUUGUUACAGAGGGGAAAUGUUUGAAGCAGAUGCAAG